This 451-nucleotide ribosomal RNA is filed under the name uncultured bacterium. RNAcentral describes it as "bacterial SSU rRNA". It matches the Rfam family "Bacterial small subunit ribosomal RNA", at positions 123 to 588 of the family's 1533-position model. The record is from RNAcentral.
AACCUGCCCCGGACUCUGGAAUAAGCGCUGGAAACGGCGUCUAAUACCGGAUACGAGACGCAACCGCAUGGUUAGUGUCUGGAAAGUUUUUCGGUCUGGGAUGGACUCGCGGCCUAUCAGCUUGUUGGUGAGGUAAUGGCUCACCAAGGCGACGACGGGUAGCCGGCCUGAGAGGGCGACCGGCCACACUGGGACUGAGACACGGCCCAGACUCCUACGGGAGGCAGCAGUGGGGAAUAUUGCACAAUGGGCGAAAGCCUGAUGCAGCGACGCCGCGUGAGGGAUGACGGCCUUCGGGUUGUGAACCUCUUUCAGCAGGGAAGAAGCGAAAGUGACGGUACCUGCAGAAGAAGCACCGGCUAACUACGUGCCAGCAGCCGCGGUAAUACGUAGGGUGCGAGCGUUGUCCGGAAUUAUUGGGCGUAAAGAGCUUGUAGGCGGUUUGUCGCGU